UUCUCUCUCUAAAAAAUCAAUGAUAAAAAUAUCCUUGGGUGAAGUGUAACAACAACAAAAAACUGCAAAGAUGGAAUUUGAGCGAAUGAACCAUGGGACUCCCUGGCCCAGUCUGCUCUCCACAUUUUACCAAGGCCUCUGUGAGACCAGACUAGUAAAGACAUUACAUAUUGAAGCCCUUCGUUUAUUACAAGCUACUCUCCCUUAUUUGUUCUUUAGAGUUAAGGCAUCAUAUUUAUUAUUUCCCUAGGUGAACUUUAUUAAAGGGGACAUGAGAAAAAUAAUUGUUUAAAAAAAAGGCAUUGAGACUGAUACGGUUGAGCACUAUUGCUCUAAUGUUCCCAUACCUGGCCACAGGGAGGCCAAGAUGUGAGCAAGUACUGCCCUCUGGUGGCCCCAGAGGAUGCAGCAAGCACAAACUGCUCACCCAGUCCUGAGAACCCCUCCAGCCCCCAAGGGUUAUGUUGCAGGUUCAAAGGGUGGUGGAAUGCUGCUCCCCACCAGCCCUGACCACACCCCUGCCCAGCCUCUGAACUGGGAAGAAGAGGUAGGUGAGAACUGUUUGAAUGGUUCAAAGUAAAUGCCAAUGAAAGAUUUCCUCAACCCUGCAAACACCACUUACCACCCCCUCUGGCAGGACUCUCCACCUUGUCCCCCUCCACUGGAAGAAGUUCGGGUUAAACCUUUCCUCUCCUAUAAAAUGGGGACACUUCAUUCCGUAAGAUUGUGAGAACUGAGAUAAUGCAUGCAAAGUGCUGAAACCUGACACACUAACUACUCAAACAUUGGCUCUUGUUAUACUUGUCAUCCCCAGGUCUGAGGGAGUGUGUCCUAUGGCCACACUUCCACUCCUGUUAUUCUGACUGUGUGGGAGCUUAUGAACUCCUUCGAAGUAUGUGAAUCUUGAGUCUUCCUUCUUAUUCCCUGCUAGGGUCUCCCUCCACCCCUCCCCAACUCUUGACCAGGUCAAAUCAGAUGUUAUAGCAGCAUUAUUCACAAUAUCCAAAUGAUGUAAAUGCCCACCAACAGAUUAAUAAAUAAAAUGCAAUACCAUCCUUACAAUGGAAUUAUUACUCAACCAUUAAAGGAAAUGAAGUACUGACAUGGAUGAACCUUAAAACCAUGCUAAGUGACGGAAGCCACACACAAAGGCCACAUACUACAUCAUUCCAAUUAUAUGAAAUAUCCAGGAUGUAUAAAUCCAUAGAGUUAGAAGCAGACUAGUGGUUGGCAGGGGCUGGGGCAUGGGGGUAAUGGUGAGUGAUUAAGUGGUUUCCCUUCUAGGUGACAAUGAGUUGUGAAGGAUUUUGAUGGUUGUACAUUGUGAAUGUACUUUAAAAUAGUCACAGUAGUAAAUAAGCCUUUGCAAAGUAAAUUCUCCAGACCAAGUCAAGUUGCUCCAGCUACUUACACCAAGCCCAGCCAACAUUGCUAAUUUGUGAAUAAAAUAAAUGAUUGAUUUUGUUCUAAGCCA
Molecule: long non-coding RNA, 1474 nt
Organism: Myotis brandtii (Brandt's bat)
Lineage: Eukaryota; Metazoa; Chordata; Mammalia; Chiroptera; Vespertilionidae
Exons: 2
Source: RefSeq, a predicted model, not a curated record